GUGCCAGCAGCCGCGGUAAUACGUAGGGUGCAAGCGUUAAUCGGAAUUACUGGGCGUAAAGCGUGCGCAGGCGGUGAUGUAAGACAGGUGUGAAAUCCCCGGGCUUAACCUGGGAACUGCAUUUGUGACUGCAUCGCUGGAGUGCGGCAGAGGGGGAUGGAAUUCCGCGUGUAGCAGUGAAAUGCGUAGAUAUGCGGAGGAACACCAGUGGCGAAGGCGACUUCCUGGCCUGUAACUGACGCUGAGGCGCGAAAGCGUGGGGAGCAAACAGGAUUAGAUACCCUGGUAGUCCACGCCCUAAACGAUGUCAACUGGUUGUUGGUCCUUCACUGGAUCAGUAACGAAGCUAACGCGUGAAGUUGACCGCCUGGGGAGUACGGCCGCAAGGUUGAAACUCAAAUGAAUUGACGG
RNAcentral lists this ribosomal RNA (411 nucleotides) under uncultured bacterium. RNAcentral describes it as "bacterial SSU rRNA". It matches the Rfam family "Bacterial small subunit ribosomal RNA", at positions 505 to 916 of the family's 1533-position model. The record is from RNAcentral.